Molecule: ribosomal RNA, 502 nt
Filed under: uncultured bacterium
Lineage: Bacteria
Description: partial 16S ribosomal RNA
Rfam family: Bacterial small subunit ribosomal RNA
Source: RNAcentral
GACGAACGCUGGCGGCGUGCCUAAUACAUGCAAGUCGAACGAACCGCGACUGAGUGCUUGCACUUGGUCAAGGUGAGUGGCGAACGGGUGAGUAACACGUGGGUAACCUACCUCAUAGUGGGGGAUAACAGUCGGAAACGACUGCUAAUACCGCAUAGGACAUGGACUCACAUGAUUCUGUGAGGAAAGGUGGCGCAAGCUAUCGCUAAGAGAUGGACCCGCGGUGCAUUAGCUAGUUGGUAGGGUAAGGGCCUAUCAAGGCGAUGAUGCAUAGCCGACCUGAGAGGGGGAUAGGCCACAUUGGGACUGAAACACGGCCCAAACUCCUACGGGAGGCAGCAGCAGGGAAUCUUCCGCAAUGGACGCAAGUCUGACGGAGCAACGCCGCGUGAGUGAAGAAGGUCUUCGGAUCGUAAAGCUCUGUUGUUAGAGAAGAACAGCGCAUAGAGUAACUGUUAUGCGUGUGACGGUAUCUAACCAGAAAGCCACGGCUAACUACGUG